GAUGAAGAACGCAGCGAAAUGCGAUAAGUAAUGUGAAUUGCAGAAUUCAGUGAAUCAUCGAAUCUUUGAACGCACAUUGCGCCCCUUGGUAUUCCGAGGGGCAUGCCUGUUCGAGCGUCAUUAUCACCCCUCAAGCUUUGCUUGGUGUUGGGGCCUGCUGUAAUAGGCAGCCCUUAAAAUCAGUGGCGGUGCUUCAAGGCUCUAAGCGUAGUAAUUCUCCUCGCUUUAGUGUCUAGUGGUUGCCAGCCAGAACCCCCCAAUUUUCAUGAUUGACCUCGGAUCAGGUAGGGAUACCCGCUGAACUUAAGCAUAUCAAUAAGCGGAGGA
Molecule: unclassified non-coding RNA, 327 nt
Filed under: soil metagenome
Description: partial contains 5.8S ribosomal RNA, internal transcribed spacer 2, and large subunit ribosomal RNA
Rfam family: 5.8S ribosomal RNA (bases 1-120)
Source: RNAcentral